AAGGCCUGAUGUGUGUGAGAUUACCCGCUGAAUUUAAGCAUAUAAGUAAGCGGAGGAAAAGAAACUAACUAGGAUUCCCUUAGUAAUGGCGAAUGAACAGGGAUCAGCUCAGUGCCAAAUCGGAAUCACUUGUGGUUCUGAAAUGUGGCUUGAAGGCAGUACCAGUGGCAUCGCGGACGAAAGUCUCUGGAAAAGAGC
Molecule: non-coding RNA, 198 nt
Filed under: Perkinsus marinus ATCC 50983
Lineage: Eukaryota; Perkinsozoa; Perkinsida; Perkinsidae
Description: Eukaryotic large subunit ribosomal RNA
Rfam family: Eukaryotic large subunit ribosomal RNA
Source: Rfam by way of RNAcentral